Long non-coding RNA from Raphanus sativus (radish), 1160 nucleotides. RefSeq lists it as uncharacterized. The transcript is spliced from 3 exons. NCBI's taxonomy places the organism in Eukaryota, Viridiplantae, Streptophyta, Magnoliopsida, Brassicales, Brassicaceae. The record is from RefSeq and is a predicted model, not a curated record.
UACCCUUAUUCCCUAUUCUUUCUCUAAUUAAUUAAAUUAAAAAAUCAAAAUCCCAAUCUGGUCAUCUCCGACUCUAGACGCUGUCUCCGACUCUCGACGUCGCCUCCAACACUAGACGUCAAUAUCAUCAACUCCAGCCUGACUCAUAUUCAUCGCCAUUAUCUCCGCCGUCGGUCAUCUCCUCCGCCAUUAUCUCUGACGUCAUCAUCUACGUUUGUCUCCCUCAGAUCCAAUCGCUGCUCCGCUGUGUCAUUUACUCUAAUCUUCAUGCACUUGAGAAAGCUAGAAAGCUUGAUGCUUUGCUACCACUUCUUACCGAUCAUAAAGUCACUGACUUGAUUACAUGUGAAGGUUGUUAGAGUGCACAUAAAGCUGCAGUUGGUAAAGAAAAAUCAGAACCUUUUUGGUUGAGAGAAAUUAAAUCUAAUGAAUUUUUUCUGAUUUAUCACUUAUUUGUAUGUUAUUACAGCUGUUUCUGUGUCAAGAGAGGUGUGUGAUCACAUUUGAUACUGCGUGGAGAGCAGUCCGAGGUUUUGACUGGUUAUAACCUCGUUUCAACCAUGUAUGGAAACGUUAUGUACGUUCCGAGAUCAAAGUGUGCGAAUCGAAAGGAAAUUCUGAGAACUCGUGUUGUUCUUGUCGCUGGGGAAGACGGUUCAGUCUUAUGGGCUAAAGACCAUGAUCUGAUCACUUAUUUUUUCUGCAGGUACGACAGUGUCACUAUUCAUGCUGAUCUUGAAUGGCAAGAUCAUUUGAAUGAGAACAACAAAACCUUUCUUUGACUUGUGUGAUGGAAUCUUCAUGAACUAUACAUGGAAGGAGAACUAUUUCAAUAUAUCAGCAGAAGUUGCAGGGGACAGAAAAUAUGAUGUCUACAUGGGAAUUGAUGUCUUUGGACGUGGCUCCUUUGGUGGUGGGCAAUGGACUGUAUGUUUCAGAAACUUUUAAGAACACCAACAAUUUUGUCAUAGUUUUUCUUCAUUUUCUCAUUAAUCUAUAUAUGAUAGGUUAGUACUGUUCUUGGUUAGACAUAUCAUGUAUUAAAAACAACAUGUACAUAGUUUUCACGAAGUCCUUCCUAAAUAUUUUGUUUAGUAUCCUAACAUGUGUUAUUUUUAAUUAAAUAUUAAAUCUUCAGGAGGCCCUUCCUAUUUAGUUUA